UACGGGGGGAGCAAGCGUUGUUCGGAUUUACUGGGCGUAAAGGGCGCGUAGGCGGCGUAACAAGUCACUUGUGAAAUCUCCGGGCUUAACCCGGAGCGGCCAAGUGAUACUGUUGUGCUAGAGUGCGGAAGGGCUACUGGAAUUCUCGGUGGUAGCGGUGAAAUGCGUAGAUAUCGCUUGGAACGCCGAAGGUGAAAACAGGUUGCUGGGUUGUGCCGACGCUGAGACACGAAGCCAGGGAGCAAACGGGA
RNAcentral lists this ribosomal RNA (251 nucleotides) under uncultured bacterium. RNAcentral describes it as "partial 16S ribosomal RNA". It matches the Rfam family "Bacterial small subunit ribosomal RNA", at positions 524 to 777 of the family's 1533-position model. The record is from RNAcentral.